Molecule: long non-coding RNA, 1272 nt
Organism: Rosa chinensis
Lineage: Eukaryota; Viridiplantae; Streptophyta; Magnoliopsida; Rosales; Rosaceae
Exons: 6
Source: RefSeq, a predicted model, not a curated record
UUUCCUUCUCAGAAAAGAAGAAAAAAGAAAAGAAAUCUUUCAUAGGGUUAUAGAAAGAGCGGGAAACGUCACACAAUGUUACAGUAACACUCCACGUGUACCCCCAUCCAACGGUUGAAAUCAGCAACCCGCUACACAUUCGGGUACCCCGACCCAUAUGCUGGUCCUUCAAAUAGCCGAACCCGAUUACAGGAAAGGAAACAAAGCAAGCAAAAAGCGGUCACUGAGAGAGAGAGAGUGACCGAGUCACUGAGUGAGCGAACCGCCAUGGAUCUACAGCAGCAGAACGCAAGAGCUCCACAGCCUCGCCGCGGCGGCGGUUUCUCGGCCCAGUCCUCUUUCCUCUUCCAUCUAAUGGUCAUUUUGUUUGUGCUAGAAGCCUGUCUGCACCGAGUCCCGGAAGGUCAUGUUGGGGUUUAUUAAUGGAGAGGACAUACUCUUCUUAAGACUGUUACAUAUCCGGGGGUUCAUCUCAAGUUGCCUGUGAUAUACUUUGAACCUAUUCAAGUGACCCUUCAGACUCAUCAGUUUUGUGAUAUUCCAUGCGGUACAAAAGAUGAUGUCAUGAUUAACAUUGAGAAGAUAGAGGUUGGAGAUAUGAGAUAGUACCACUCUGUUAAUGUUGUGAGAACUGAGAAGUAAUAGUUUUCAUUGUCCUCGAUCAGUAAAUGCAUUGAUUGGGAUGCCUUUCUCAGGUUGUUAACCGGCUUCGCAAAGAAUACGUGUAUGAGACAUUAAGGAGUUAUGGGACUCAGUAUUACUGCUCAUAUACAUGUGUCGUCGUGUGUAGAGAGAUCAGUAAGCUCUGCGGCUCACAUUCUAUUGAAGAGGUUUUUGAUCAGAUUGAUGAAAAGCUGAGAGAAGCUCUUCACGAUGAUAGUGCGCAUUUUGCUCCCGGCAUUGAAAUCAUCAGCGUGCGUGUCACAAGGCCUACUAUCCCAUGCCAGACAGUGUAAGACGCGGAACACACCAAGGUACCAAAGCUGUAUGGGAGAAGUACAUGUGAAAACUGAGGCGAUGGAAGGAAGUGCAGAAGAGUAGGGAGAUGUGUUAACAUACUCUGUACACACCAAAUAGGGAGAGAGGAUAUGAUCUAGUUCAGUAGCCAAAUGCUUCAGUUGUUUUGAUAGAUGCAAACUCUACAUUACCUUGCAUUAGAAAGGAUGAAUUGAGAACAAGCUUAAGAAUGUAUACAUCACGCAAUCUAAUUCCUCAGACGUUGACCUACUUUUAAUGUAGUCUACUUUUAUAUACAUAUUUAUUUAUGUUACU